GCCGGGCGUGGUGGUAUACGCCUGUAAUCCCAGCUACUCGGGAGGCUGAGGCAGGAGAAUUGCUUGAACCCAGGAGGUAAAGGUUGCAGUGAGCUGAAAUCACGCCACUGCACUCCAGCCUGGGUGAUAAAGCAAGACUCUGUCUCAA
This 148-nucleotide non-coding RNA is filed under the name Homo sapiens (human). The record is from Rfam by way of RNAcentral. Lineage: Eukaryota; Metazoa; Chordata; Mammalia; Primates; Hominidae.